RNAcentral lists this small RNA (126 nucleotides) under Marmota monax (woodchuck). The record is from RNAcentral. Lineage: Eukaryota; Metazoa; Chordata; Mammalia; Rodentia; Sciuridae.
GCCAGGUGUGGUGGCGCACGCCUGUAAUUCCAGUGGCUUUAGGAGGCUGAGGUAGGAGGAUUGUGAGUUCAAAGCCAGCCUCGGCAAAAUCAAGAUGCUAGGCAACUCAGUGAGACCCUGUCUCUA